AUGCCCGGCCUCUCGCUGAAAAAAAAAGGCCACCUGGUGAAUAACUGCCCCGCGCGCUACCGCGGGAAGCCUCUAGAGGGCGCGGCAGUCUCGCUCAAGCGUCGAGGGGCGGGGCUUGUUGCCGUGGCGACCACUCCGUCAACAGCCUCCGCGGCUGUUCCUGUCUCCGUGGCCAUGGAGGACCGCCCCUCGGUUUUUAUCGGGUGUGGCAAUCUAGAAGCUGAUAAAAGGUGCAUUCAAGUAGCAGCCAUUUGUCCACUUGGCCAGCCUAUGAACCAGGGCAAGGAAUCCUUCAGAACCGAAAACCGUGCUCUCUCCCUGGUUGGCAAAGGUAGGUCUGGAUACGGCAUUGAGAUGUCAAGCUUUAAAAAAAACAGCAGGAAAUUUGAGGUUCAAAUAAACACAGCGAUACAAAGAUUU
Molecule: long non-coding RNA, 420 nt
Filed under: Naja naja (Indian cobra)
Lineage: Eukaryota; Metazoa; Chordata; Lepidosauria; Squamata; Elapidae
Description: lncRNA (ENSNNAG00000015081.1)
Source: RNAcentral